This 489-nucleotide ribosomal RNA is filed under the name uncultured bacterium. RNAcentral's name for it is "partial 16S ribosomal RNA". It matches the Rfam family "Bacterial small subunit ribosomal RNA", at positions 30 to 507 of the family's 1533-position model. The record is from RNAcentral.
UUGAACGCUGGCGGCAGGCCUAACACAUGCAAGUCGAACGGUAGCAGGAAGAAGCUUGCUUCUUUGCUGACGAGUGGCGGACGGGUGAGUAAUGUCUGGGAAACUGCCUGAUGGAGGGGGAUAACUACUGGAAACGGUAGCUAAUACCGCAUAACGUCGCAAGACCAAAGAGGGGGACCUUCGGGCCUCUUGCCAUCGGAUGUGCCCAGAUGGGAUUAGCUAGUAGGUGGGGUAACGGCUCACCUAGGCGACGAUCCCUAGCUGGUCUGAGAGGAUGACCAGCCACACUGGAACUGAGACACGGUCCAGACUCCUACGGGAGGCAGCAGUGGGGAAUAUUGCACAAUGGGCGCAAGCCUGAUGCAGCCAUGCCGCGUGUAUGAAGAAGGCCUUCGGGUUGUAAAGUACUUUCAGCGGGGAGGAAGGGAGUAAAGUUAAUACCUUUGCUCAUUGACGUUACCCGCAGAAGAAGCACCGGCUAACUCCGUG